Pelodiscus sinensis (Chinese soft-shelled turtle) is the source of this 409-nucleotide long non-coding RNA. RefSeq lists it as uncharacterized. Lineage: Eukaryota; Metazoa; Chordata; Testudines; Trionychidae. The record is from RefSeq and is a predicted model, not a curated record.
GCCUCAGCACUCCUACCAGGACUGGUGCAGGGGCAAUCAGAAAGGCUCUGGGUGCUGUCCCUGCCCCCAGCACCAACUCCACAGCUUCCAUGGGCUGGGAUUUAAGGCCAAUGGAAAUUGCAGGGCUGGUGCCUGCAGGAAUGGGCAGUGCAAACAGCACAGAGCCACCUGCCUCUCUCUCUAGGGUUACCAGCACUCCUGGGAAACAGGAUUUAUUACAGACUAAGAGGGAGACAUUUUUGUGGGAGUUCCUCAAUUAAACACUGGCAGACUUCGUUGACUUGCCAGAAUGCAAAAGAGGAAACACUUAUCUGAGCCAUUUCAGGGAGCCAAGAUUCAACCUGCAUUACUCUGGAGAUUUUCUCACCUCCUACAUGGGACUGUGAUGCAUAAUUCAAUCCUGGUAGUA